UUUCGAGUUUCGUGCUUCGGCACGUCUCUCGGAGAGCCAAGACAAAUCCAAGUCAAAAACCAAACAAAUCAAACUAUGGUUAACAGAA
This is a non-coding RNA of Caenorhabditis elegans, 88 nucleotides long. The record is from Ensembl. Lineage: Eukaryota; Metazoa; Nematoda; Chromadorea; Rhabditida; Rhabditidae.